AUUGAACGCUGGCGGCAUGCCUUACACAUGCAAGUCGAACGGCCGCGCGGGCUUCGGCCUGGCGGCGUGUGGCGAACGGGUGAGUAAUAAAUCCGUACGUGCCCUGUCUAGGGGACUAGCACGGCGUAAGCCGGCUUAAUAUCGCACACGAUCAGAGGUUGAAAGCCGGGGAUCUUCGGACCUCGCGCUUCUUGCGCGGACGAUGGCGCAUUAGCUAGUUGGUUGGGUAAAGGCCUAACAAGGCGACGAUCUGUAGCUGAUCUGAGAGGCCGACCAGCCACACUGGAACUGAGACACGGCCCAGACUCCUACGGGAGGCAGCAGUAGGGAAUCUUGGGCAAUGGGCGAAAGCCUGAUGCAGCAACGCCGCGUGUGUGAUGAAGGCCUUCGGGUUGUAAAGCACUGUUAGUAGGAAAGAAAAGAAGUGUGAGAAUACGUCCAUUCGAUGACGGUACCCGAAGAGUAAGCCCCGGCUAACUACGUG
RNAcentral lists this ribosomal RNA (484 nucleotides) under uncultured bacterium. Its description in RNAcentral is "partial 16S ribosomal RNA". It matches the Rfam family "Bacterial small subunit ribosomal RNA", at positions 30 to 507 of the family's 1533-position model. The record is from RNAcentral.